Balaenoptera musculus (blue whale) is the source of this 68-nucleotide small nucleolar RNA. Its record names the gene SNORD73. It matches the Rfam family "Small nucleolar RNA SNORD73". Rfam says of the family: U73 is a member of the C/D class of snoRNA which contain the C (UGAUGA) and D (CUGA) box motifs. U73 is encoded within the introns of ribosomal protein S3a and contains a 12nt region of complementarity to a conserved sequence in 28S ribosomal RNA. U73 is therefore thought to function as a 2'-O-ribose methylation guide for pre-rRNA. Lineage: Eukaryota; Metazoa; Chordata; Mammalia; Artiodactyla; Balaenopteridae. The record is from Ensembl.
AAUGAAUGAUGACAAAAUGUUUCGGUCCCGUAUGAUAUGAUUACACUGUUACAUUUAUUUCUGAUACU